GAUGAACGCUGGCGGCGUGCCUAAUACAUGCAAGUCGAGCGAACGGACGAGAAGCUUGCUUCUCUGAUGUUAGCGGCGGACGGGUGAGUAACACGUGGAUAACCUACCUAUAAGACUGGGAUAACUUCGGGAAACCGGAGCUAAUACCGGAUAAUAUUUUGAACCGCAUGGUUCAAAAGUAAAAGACGGUCUUGCUGUCACUUAUAGAUGGAUCCGCGCUGCAUUAGCUAGUUGGUAAGGUAACGGCUUACCAAGGCAACGAUGCAUAGCCGACCUGAGAGGGUGAUCGGCCACACUGGAACUGAGACACGGUCCAGACCCCUACGGGAGGCAGCAGUAGGGAAUCUUCCGCAAUGGGCGAAAGCCUGACGGAGCAACGCCGCGUGAGUGAUGAAGGUCUUCGGAUCGUAAAACUCUGUUAUUAGGGAAGAACAUAUGUGUAAGUAACUGUGCACAUCUUGACGGUACCUAAUCAGAAAGCCACGGCUAACUACGUG
Molecule: ribosomal RNA, 497 nt
Filed under: uncultured bacterium
Lineage: Bacteria
Description: partial 16S ribosomal RNA
Rfam family: Bacterial small subunit ribosomal RNA
Source: RNAcentral